GAUGAACGCUGGCGGCGUGCCUAAUACAUGCAAGUCGAACGCAUUGUGGUUGAAAUGAUAUGAAGAACUUGUUCAGAUUUGAUUUUCAACAUUGCAAUGAGUGGCGAACGGGUGAGUAACACGUGGGAAACCUACCUCUUAGCAGGGGAUAACAUUUGGAAACAAAUGCUAAUACCGUAUAAUAAUUAAAACCGCAUGGUUUUAGUUUAAAAGAUGGUCUUGCUAUCACUAAGAGAUGGUCCCGCGGUGUAUUAGUUAGUUGGUGAGGUAAUGGCUCACCAAGACAAUGAUACAUAGCCGAGUUGAGAGACUGACCGGCCACAAUGGGACUGAGACACGGCCCAUACUCCUACGGGAGGCAGCAGUAGGGAAUCUUCCACAAUGGACGAAAGUCUGAUGGAGCAACGCCGCGUGUGUGAUGAAGGGUUUCGGCUCGUAAAACACUGUUGUAAGAGAAGAAUGACAUUGAGAGUAACUGUUCAAUGCGUGACGGUAUCUU
This 499-nucleotide ribosomal RNA is filed under the name uncultured bacterium. RNAcentral's name for it is "bacterial SSU rRNA". It matches the Rfam family "Bacterial small subunit ribosomal RNA", at positions 28 to 481 of the family's 1533-position model. The record is from RNAcentral.